UACGAAGGGGGCGAGCGUUGUUCGGAAUUACUGGGCGUAAAGGGCGCGCAGGCGGCCUUUCAAGUCAGAUGUGAAAGCCCCGGGCUCAACCUGGGAAUGGCAUUUGGGACUGGAAGGCUCGAGAUCGGGAGAGGAGGGUGGAAUUCCCAGUGUAGAGGUGAAAUUCGUAGAUAUUGGGAAGAACACCGGUGGCGAAGGCGGCUCUCUGGACCGAUACUGACGCUGAGGCGCGAAGGCCAGGGGAGCAAACGGG
This 253-nucleotide ribosomal RNA is filed under the name uncultured bacterium. Its description in RNAcentral is "partial 16S ribosomal RNA". It matches the Rfam family "Bacterial small subunit ribosomal RNA", at positions 524 to 776 of the family's 1533-position model. The record is from RNAcentral.